RNAcentral lists this ribosomal RNA (210 nucleotides) under uncultured Desulfobulbus sp. RNAcentral's name for it is "partial 16S ribosomal RNA". It matches the Rfam family "Bacterial small subunit ribosomal RNA", at positions 1176 to 1380 of the family's 1533-position model. Lineage: Bacteria; Pseudomonadati; Thermodesulfobacteriota; Desulfobulbia; Desulfobulbales; Desulfobulbaceae. The record is from RNAcentral.
GGGAUGACGUCAAAUCAUCAUGCCCUUAUGUCCUGGGCUACACGCGUGCUACAAUGGCAGGUACAAAGGGCAAGCGACACAGCGAUGUGAUGCGAAUCCCGAAAAGCCUGUCUCAGUCCGGAUCGGAGUCUGCAACUCGACUCCGUGAAGUUGGAAUCGCUAGUAAUCGUGGAUCAGCAUGCCACGGUGAAUAACGUUCCCGGGUCCGUU